RNAcentral lists this ribosomal RNA (253 nucleotides) under uncultured bacterium. RNAcentral describes it as "partial 16S ribosomal RNA". It matches the Rfam family "Bacterial small subunit ribosomal RNA", at positions 524 to 776 of the family's 1533-position model. The record is from RNAcentral.
UACGUAGGGUGCAAGCGUUGUCCGGAAUUAUUGGGCGUAAAGAGCUCGUAGGCGGUUUGUUGCGUCGGCUGUGAAAUCCCGAGGCUCAACCUCGGGUCUGCAGUCGAUACGAGCAAACUAGAGUGUGGUAGGGGAGACUGGAAUUCCUGGUGUAGCGGUGAAAUGCGCAGAUAUCAGGAGGAACACCGGUGGCGAAGGCGGGUCUCUGGGCCGAUAUUGACGCUGAGGAGCGAAAGCGUGGGGAGCGAACAGG